AUGUGGUUAAUUCGAAGCAACGCGAAGAACCUUACCAGGUCUUGACAUCCCGAUGCUAUUUCUAGAGAUAGAAAGUUACUUCGGUACAUCGGUGACAGGUGGUGCAUGGUUGUCGUCAGCUCGUGUCGUGAGAUGUUGGGUUAAGUCCCGCAACGAGCGCAACCCCUAUUGUUAGUUGCCAUCAUUCAGUUGGGCACUCUAGCGAGACUGCCGGUAAUAAACCGGAGGAAGGUGGGGAUGACGUCAAAUCAUCAUGCCCCUUAUGACCUGGGCUACACACGUGCUACAAUGGUUGGUACAACGAGUUGCGAGUCGGUGACGGCGAGCUAAUCUCUUAAAGCCAAUUUCAGUUCGGAUUGUAGGCUGCAACUCGCCUACAUGAAGUCGGAAUCGCUAGUAAUCGCGGAUCAGCACGCCGCGGUGAAUACGUUCCCGGGCCUU
RNAcentral lists this ribosomal RNA (441 nucleotides) under uncultured Streptococcus sp. RNAcentral describes it as "bacterial SSU rRNA". It matches the Rfam family "Bacterial small subunit ribosomal RNA", at positions 939 to 1382 of the family's 1533-position model. Lineage: Bacteria; Bacillati; Bacillota; Bacilli; Lactobacillales; Streptococcaceae. The record is from RNAcentral.